GAAGUGGUUCGACAUUUUGUGAUGGGUGUCCUUACAUAUCGGAAGAGCUGCAUUUGGAAGUAGAAAAUGCAAUUCAGUGCCCAAUGCCCAUUCGUUUAUUCUAUAAUAUGUUUCUAAUACCUCUAAUUAUGUGGAACAUGAACAAAAAGCCCUUGGAACUUGCAUGCUAUAGUCGCAUAGAAGGUGGAGAUGUUUAUUUUGAUGAUCACAGCUUGGUAAGUCAUCCAAUACCAUAUUUCUAGUCACUCAUGCAUAGCUUAACCCUACCACUAAUAUCUACUUCAUUUCUGCUCAACUUGAGUGUUGCCAUAUAUACAGCCGUGGGUUUCAUUAUGACAAUUUUAAAUUGGAUCGUAUGAUAUUGAUAGGGUUGGUAGAGGUACUAGUUGAGUGUCUGUUUUAUCUGUUAUAAUUGUAAGAUUGCUCUCCAAAUUGGUGCUUAAAUUCAAGUCUACUUACGAAAUUAGAGUUGCCACUAGUUCAGUUUGUGUAUUUCGGUGUGCAGAGCUAGAAUCCACACAAAACUCAGAAAACGGCUCUCAAAUGGGACUUCAACUAGAGAUCUAGGCAAGGGACAUCAAUUAUAAGGAGAGAAGGUGUUAGGCACCUCUCCUUGUCCGUGUUCACAUGGUCUCUUCUGGCAAUGCACUGAAAUUCGGCUUUAACAAAUCAAUUUGCACCCAUUCAUUAAGAUUAACAGUGCAAUUCAUCAAAUAAAGAAACACACAAACUGAGAAAAGAAAAGAGAGAGAGAAUUGCUUCGAUGUGCUAUGAAAUCUUCUUUCAAUGACAAUGCCAACGACCUCGAUCUUUAGUCACCUUGCCUCUGCUUUGGAAGAGUUACUAGAACCAAGUCUCAGGCCUUUUGGGCUGAGCUAUACUCAGCUACUUCCAAGCAAGACUCUUCAAUAACUUGGUCAUUCUUGUCCAUCGUCAUCUCUGCAAGUUGCUGAUAUUCUUUGAUAUCUUCUCAUGAAUCUUAAAAAGAAAAAGAAAAAAGAAAGAAUGAAAAUCCAAGACUUAGAGAAUCUAUGAUAUCAAAGGCCAUUCUUCAAUGCAAUGAAGGGGUAUUUAUAAAGCUACGUCAUGACAUGAUUGUAAUUUAAGAGAAUUUCAUGGAUAUUCAGAAAGGAUAAGUGAAAAUAUACCUAGAUCAACAAGGAUCAUUGGAUGAAAAAGGUUAGAUGCCAUUUGUAUGAGAAAGAGAGGGAAAUUCUGUUAAACAAGAUUCCCUCUCCAAAUUUCAAAAUUUUGGGUACAAAAUGGAAAUUUUACUCAUCCAAUUCUGUUACAAUGGUAAAGUGCGUAAUUAAAACUUGCUUAGGGCUCAAUUAACGCACCCUAUAAUUUGAAAUUUGGAGGUAAUUGAAUUUCUCAAGAAUUCAUAGAGUUGGUGGACCAUUUCAGGAAAUUCUUACACGGUUCUGCAAAAAAGGGUCUCAGAUGGCCAGAUGGCCAAUUUGUGCAAACUACCAUUAACCAUCCACGCAUCAAAUUAGAAUGAUUUCAGUAGCAUUGAAAAGCUCAUCCAACAUACUACUCCAUGCACCAGAAGAUCAAACAAUUUAAUAAUUAGACAAGGAAAUAAAUCACACUUGAAAAUCAAAUUUCAUCACAAAAUCACAAACUGCAAUCCCAUCAAUACAACCACCUCCAUUUACGGGCUCCAAUAUCUCAUAGAAUAAUCAAGAGCCUACUUCACUUUCUAUCCUGUAUCAAAACCCACCCAUAGCAAGCAUAUUUGAGGAAAAAUUCACAAACAUCCCACAUUCCUUGAUUUUAUAAAAAUCACACAAAAUCACUUAAAACAGGCCAGGGUUGGUUAAAGUUUAAUCACCUCUGGCCAAAGGUGGUCAAAUACUGUCUCAACCAGAGAUGCCAAAAAGUCUUCAAUGUGGGGUGGUUAAAGUUUAACUAGCUUUAACAAGGUGCGGUUAAACUUUAUCUGCCUUCUGCCCAUCAUUCCAAAAAAAAAAAAGGGUUAGACUUUUGAGGGCCCAGUCCCCACACGAUCUGAGUCAUAGCCCUAAACUCGAGAGCCACUUGAGUCUGAUCAAAUUUUAGAUUAAAUCUGAACCAUUGAUCUUAAUCAAACUAUCAAAUCUGGGCCAUUCGAGUGUGGGGUGUCUAUGAUGAUAUUGAAAUAUUUGUGUUUGCCCCUAAAAAGUUCUUUUUUUCUUGUCUUUCUCAUGCAGUGCUUGAUGCCUCUUCUAGGUUAGAUUCAUGGUUUUCUUGCACUUGUUUUCUCAACUGUAGGAUUCUAUGGAAAUGCUUGAUUCCCCUAAUCUGGUUUUCCUUUUAUUAUGUUUGUGGUAGUAGAGACUUUUUAGGCGCCAUGUUGGUGACUAUGUCGGUGCUGAUCUAAAUGAAGGUUUCAAAUCAUUUGUUGAGAAAAAAAGGUAGGAUUUAUUUUUUAAAACUUGUAUCUAUGUUUAGCUAAUGUCUCCGUAUACAUGGCAUACUAUUUUAAAAUGAUUCUAAAAAAGAUGCAUUGAUUUAUUAUUUUCUUAAAUAGAUUGUUAAUUCCUAUUAUUUGGUGUGAUUUGUUAUUGUCUUCGUGAUAGUGCUGGGAUAAUAUUUUAUUAUGGCUAUAUCAUUAAAGAAUGGAAUUCGAUACUAACUCUAUUUAAGAAAUGCAACCAAUCCAUCCCGUACCUCUACCUUGAUUUUGUGAUUUGGACCAAUUUGCUGAACUUUAUCUUUGCUAUACUCGACUAUCAUCGAUGUCAAUAAUGAGUUUGCCAAGAAUGCUCCAUUUCACCCAAAAAAAAAAGAAAAAGAAAAACAGAGAGAAGAAAAAAAGAGAGGAAUUGAUCUCAAUAAUCCAAUCUCUGGCCUCAUAGUUUCUACCAGGCCAUUUUCUAAGCCAUAAAUGGUAUGGUGAGGAUUGUCUGAUCAAGAUGAAUCUAUGAAAUCAUAAGCAAUCCAAGUGAGGACCACCAAAUUUUAGGUCCAUAUUGAUUACAGAAUCUAUCUGCUGCAAAUGUUCUUAAUCUUCCAUUUUGUAGGCCGUUGGUCAGAUGGUUAUAAUAAUCCUAUUGGUGUCUUUUUGAAGUGUGGUCCAAGUUGAUUGAUUGGACCACUGAUGAAACUGCAUAAAACCGUAAACAGGCAAAAAAAAAAUAAAAUAAAAAUUAAAAAUUAAAAAAAAAAAUGAAGAAGAAGAAGAAGAAAAGAAACAUAUGCCUUGGCUGCAUGAGGUUUAAGCCUCUCAUAAUUUAGCUGUACAAAAGGCCUCAAGACUAAUUUCUUUCUUGCCUUGUGAAGCCUGCCACGCUUAAAAUAAGAACUGCCCCAUUUAACCCCUGCCCAAAUGGCACCCUAGAAAUACAAUAUCCAUAACUUGAAGCACAUCAGAAUUAUUCAAGCACUGCUGAAAGCCUGAAACACAGCGCCGAAAGAUGAAUUAAGUUCUUUUUUCUGGAUAACCCAUGUUGGCUUGUUGUCUGAUGAGCAGUUUUUAAGAAAAUGGAAUGCCCUUUCACAUGGAUUGUUGGUACAGUAAAAAUACAAAAUAAAUAAAUAAAUAAAUAAAAACAGCAGUGUGUAUCUUUCUGUUUACCUAUUACCAUUUUGUUACUCGCCUCCGAUGUCUUUAUCUUUUCCAUAGUUAAUUGGUUUUACUACAUUAGUAGAAAGUAGACACUUUAUUCCUUGUGAGCUCUGUGCAAGAGUGGUGACUUAUGUAGGCAACUUCUCAUUCUUCUCUGGAAAUCAGACUUAGGUUGUCAGGGUUUUGGCAAUCUUCUUGCUUGCAUAAGAAACAAAAAUAUUCCACUGCAGAAUAUUCAUUUUUUGUCAUCCAUAUUCAAUCGACAAACUGAGAUGCAUGCCUCACAAAUACUGAUGCUACAUGUGUCUGGGAUCCAGGCCUUUCAUCAAGCAUGGCACAUGAUGAACAUUCCAUGUCCAGAAAAUGAAGCUGAUCCAACCAACCAUCACACUGGUGCUAUCAUGGUGAACAUUCCUUAUCCAUUGCUUUCUCCAUUCCAGCCUGAUGAGUGGAUUGCCUGCAUAUUUUGGCCGAGUCAAAGCUGUUGACAAUAUAUCCUGGCUUUCUGUGGCCACGGUGUUCUGGCUUAGAAGUCUGCUCCUUUCAUCAGGCUUGCCUUCUUUGUUCAACACACGGCUAUAAAACAACUCAGGUGGGCCACCCGCCGAGGAGUUUAAAAUCAGGCCAAAAACCUGUAAGAUAAUCCUGUGUGGGCUUCCUGAGUUUGGAUCAACCUGAUUUUUGAAAUGUCUUUUCACCCUGGUGAGGUGCACCAGAUAAAUGGGUUGCAUGGAAUUUCAUGGGUGGGCUCGCCCAGCCCACCCGUUUCUCCUAGUGUUGUGGCCUGCCUGAGUUGUGGAUUGGGCUGAGUUUUAGUCCCUGGGCCUAACAUCCAGGGACACAGCUGAUGGACGGAGUGGAUGUCACACACAUAAUAUGGCGGGCUCUGUUGAGCUCGGUGUUGUAGACUAGUCCAAUCCAUGGACAAACGACUGACAGGCAUUGAAAGGAGAAACUUUACCCUCUGUAUAGUAUAGAUGUAUCAUGAACCGAACAUUAAACAUAUUCGAUUAUCUGAGUAUCAGAUUGUGGGACAGUUAUUAGACGGUUGAAAAUGAAAAAAUAAAAUCCAAUGGUGCUAUUUCCACAAACCAGUGUCCACCAAUUACAGGGUAGGAUCUUUUAAAUCACAGCAUUAUUUGAAUUUAUGUUUUAUUAAUGAAAACUAUUUAUAGAAGUAAGUGGAAUAGCCGAAUACAUACAAACACCAAGCUCACAGAAGACCAUUCAUUAGUCGAAGCCUUUAUCAGGUAGUUGAAGCUGUGCCCCUUAUCCCAGUACUUCACCAUAGUUACUGCCCAUUUCCUCAUGCUCUCGUCUAUCGGUGAUGCAUUUCCUUGGUUGUCAUCUCGGAAUUUCCUUAGCAGGUGAAUGAGAAAUGGUAGAAAUAUGGUCGUCCACAUUUCACUGGUAUCUUUAAAGAGACCCCAGAAGUUGUUGGGGUUCAGCCUCUGAAUCAUAAAAGUAAAAAAUAAUUUAAAAAUUCAAUGUUCAUGGGAAUUCGUUUUUCGAUUUUCGUAACAUCCAAACAUAAUUUCAGCUCCUCAUUAAUGGAAUCUAGAGCCAGAGGGCACAGCCGAAUGAUAUGUGAUCAGAUGGUUAGUAAUGGCCCAAGAAGAAGUCACACCAGGUAUUUAUGGCCUACCUCUGACCAGAUGAGGAUCCGACCACCAAAAUGCUGCUUAGGCAGGUCCCACCAUUUAAGAGCCCUAGUCCCAUAACCAAGAUGGUGCUUCAUCAUGCUUGCUACACCAUACAUGUGCAAAAUUGUGGACAGUUAAAUUGAAUAACAGUCCAUAUCAAACACACAAGUGUGGCCCACAAUCUGAGAGGAGCCACAGGAAUACACAUGGGGGCCACUUGAUGAACAGCUCUGAUCCUACAGGUACUCUGUGGUGUCAGAUUUAGCCUUUGCCAUUUCUCACAUGGGUGUGUUCUUAGCGACGGCUUAGAAGCCAGUUUCCUCCGAAUCUGCAAUUUGGCCCAGCAUCAGCAAAGUCAUUGCAGAAUUUAGUGAGGAAGACUCGGAUGUAUGGGAUCUCAAGGAAAGCUGAUGCGAUCUUUCUGCUUCUGAAGGUCUCUGGAUAUUCUUCUCUGUUUGUGAUCAUCUUGAUGUUUCUUGUGUCGAAAUGCAGCACCUUCUUCAAGUAUUUCAUGGUGAACAAGUCACCAUCCUGACUAGCGAUUCGGCCUGCUUCAGACACUAUUAUCUCAGUCACCAUUGGUGCAAGCCAUCGGGUGGAUAGCUGUGUAGCUCAACGUUGAGAAUAGCACGACGAACAGUCAUACCACGAAGAACACUAGAGAGAAGUUGCUCCGGAGCCUUUUUCCUGGUAAGGAAAUGUAGAGCGUUAUGAGUCGAAAAAUAUUGAGUACAGUGAGACAGACCGUCCAUCUCAUGGGCUCCACCUUGGUUUGGCCAUGGCCCAAAAAUUGCACUGACAGAAAAACUAAUAAUCAAUGCAGUGACAAUGACCAACAUAUAAAAUGUUAAUGGUCCA
Molecule: RNA transcript, 6054 nt
Organism: Magnolia sinica
Lineage: Eukaryota; Viridiplantae; Streptophyta; Magnoliopsida; Magnoliales; Magnoliaceae
Gene name: NAD-capped RNA hydrolase DXO1-like
Exons: 2
Source: RefSeq, a predicted model, not a curated record